RNAcentral lists this non-coding RNA (1976 nucleotides) under Pongo abelii (Sumatran orangutan). The record is from RNAcentral. Lineage: Eukaryota; Metazoa; Chordata; Mammalia; Primates; Hominidae.
AGCCUCCCAAAGUUCCAGGAUUACAGGCAUGAGCUACCGCUCCCGGCAAGUAUUUUGUUUUUAAAUUCAGCCUGCUCCUGGAGGUUUUUUCUUGGCUUAAAAAUAACAUUAGACUUGAAAGUUCAUUGUCUUAAAAAAUAAAGAAGAAAAGACAAAAUUGUGGCUAAUGGAGGCGCAAUCUCCAGACACAAAACUUGGAUUGAUGAUGGUAAAAUCUGAGAGCCUGUGUUGGAAGACAGCAACCAGGAGCGAGAUGUUGCCCUCUUUAGAUUUCGUGUCUUUGCUUCAGUGGUUUUCUUUAAAGGCAAGCAAAGAGUCUCACUCUGUCUCCCAGACUGGAGUGCAAUGGCGCGAUCUCAGCUCACUGUAACCUCCACCUCCCGAGUUCAAGUGAUUAUCCCACCUCAGCCUCCCAUGUAACUGGGAUUACAGACGGAGUCUCGCUGUGUUCCCCAGGCUUGAGUGCAGUGGCGCAAUCUCAGCUCACUGCAAGCUCCGCCUCCCGGGUUCAUGCCAUUCUCCUGCCUCAGCCUCCCGGAGUAGCUGGGACUACAGGCAUGAGUGCAGUGGCGCAAUCUCAGCUCACUGCAAUCUCCACCUCCCCAGUUCAAAUGAUUCUCCUUCCUCAGCCUCCCAAGUAGCUGGGAUUACAGGUUUGUGGACUCUUGCAAAAGGAACAGUCGAAUUGAUUCAGCAUCAACUAAGCGUGGAAGAAAAAACAUAUGUAACUGUGAAAACAAAAACAAAACAGAUUUCUGGCUGCUGUCCUCAGAAGCCUCCCACACAGAUGAUGUUCCUGACAGGAUCAACAAACGUUGCAUUUCACUGUCCCACAGCGCAGCUUCGUCCAUCAGCCACUGACUGGCAUGGGCCAGGAGCACUUUUGGUCUCGGUGACAGUGACUUCCUUGCUCUGCUGUGAACAAGUGUCCUUUCUGUGAAAGUAGGUCUCAUGGUUCUAGGGCUGAUCCCAGUGCCAUCCCACAACAUUUCAGUGUGCCCGACAGCGUGCCUGGCAAGCAGCGAGCUCCUGACAAUUGGAAGCUGCUAAUGCUGUUACAGACAUCUGCAAGCAAGUCAGAUCAGCCAGAUUCCAUCACGUGAGACACCUUGGAGGACAAAGCCACAUUGUGUGGAGGAGAACACACCACCAUUCAGGCCCAUCGUCAUCCUGCUUUCUCCUAUACUCAGUCUCCCGCAGUGCCAGGUAGGUUUCUGCCUGUACUAAGAAGGGUGAAUGGAAAGGUGAGAUGUAAAAACAAACAAACAAACAAGGGCUCGAAAUGUCUAUGGGAAGAUAAAAUUGUGGCAGUGCUUUAGAAAACAAGAAGCGCAUGAUUAAAUGGACUGUUGUUUUCUUUAGAAUGCGGGUAUUAUAAUUGGUAUUGAGGUGACGCAUUAGGGCUUUGAGGUGCCUCCCCACCCCGGCCUCUGCGCUGGCAGUGAGAACCCAGCCCGUGCUAUCUUCACAGUUCUCGGCCCAUGGAAGCACAGGCCACCUGGGCUCCUGCAAACAACAGACGUGUAAUUAGAGGCUCCUGGGCUGGGAUGAUGUGGUGCACAGACAAGUCUUAUCACGCGUCUGAGCCGCUGUAGGUGCCUGGAGUUGCCUCUGCAGCCCGGAGCAGGUGAGCGGAGGCUCCCGUGACUCACCCAACUGCAGGAACUGUCAACUGGCUUCUGCCCAGCCAAGAACUUUUAUCAAUCACUAAGUAGAGACACUGUGUACAAGGACACCGGUUCAUCCAAGAACAUCAGGACAGCCAGGAAUUCAAAACACAAAACACAGCUUCCUGCAUGUUGCACCCCAGGCGGCUCUGAGGCUCAGCCCAAGGAAGGUUUGGGGCUUGAGCCAGAAAGACACGAUUCACUCUGACUUACACAAGAGGGGAGUGUACAAAAGUCAUGCAGUCCCAGGGGAAGGCACUGGGCUAAACCCUCAUGACUGUAAAAUGAAGAAAUAGGCAUGAAGCAUGA